GCUCCGUUCGUCUAACGGUUAGGACAACUGCCUUUCGAGCAGUAAAUACGAGUUCGAUUCUCGUACGGAGUACAA
RNAcentral lists this transfer RNA (75 nucleotides) under Flavobacterium sp. 316. RNAcentral's name for it is "tRNA-Glu". It matches the Rfam family "tRNA". From Rfam's summary of the family: Transfer RNA (tRNA) molecules are approximately 80 nucleotides in length. Their secondary structure includes four short double-helical elements and three loops (D, anti-codon, and T loops). Further hydrogen bonds mediate the characteristic L-shaped molecular structure. tRNAs have two regions of fundamental functional importance: the anti-codon, which is responsible for specific mRNA codon recognition, and the 3' end, to which the tRNAs corresponding amino acid is attached (by aminoacyl-tRNA synthetases). tRNAs cope with the degeneracy of the genetic code in two manners: having more than one tRNA (with a specific anti-codon) for a particular amino acid; and 'wobble' base-pairing, i.e. permitting non-standard base-pairing at the 3rd anti-codon position. The record is from RNAcentral. Lineage: Bacteria; Pseudomonadati; Bacteroidota; Flavobacteriia; Flavobacteriales; Flavobacteriaceae.